GGUGCCGUAGCCAAGUGGUAAGGCAGAGCUCUGCAAAAGCUCUAUUCAUCAGUUCGAGUCUGAUCGGCACCU
Molecule: transfer RNA, 72 nt
Filed under: bacterium
Lineage: Bacteria
Also listed under: 2 other names
Description: tRNA-Cys
Rfam family: tRNA
About the family: Transfer RNA (tRNA) molecules are approximately 80 nucleotides in length. Their secondary structure includes four short double-helical elements and three loops (D, anti-codon, and T loops).
Source: RNAcentral